AGAGUUUGAUCAUGGCUCAGGACGAACGCUGGCGGCGUGCUUAACACAUGCAAGUCGAACGGAGAGGCCCUUCGGGGUACUCGAGUGGCGAACGGGUGAGUAACACGUGGGUGAUCUGCCCUGCACUUUGGGAUAAGCCUGGGAAACUGGGUCUAAUACCGAAUAUGACCAUGCGCCUCCUGGUGUGUGGUGGAAAGCUUUUGCGGUGUGGGAUGGGCCCGCGGCCUAUCAGCUUGUUGGUGGGGUAAUGGCCUACCAAGGCGACGACGGGUAGCCGGCCUGAGAGGGUGACCGGCCACACUGGGACUGAGAUACAGCCCAGGCUCCUACGGGAGGCAGCAGUGGGGAAUAUUGCACAAUGGGCGCAAGCCUGAUGCAGCGACGCCGCGUGAGGGAUGACGGCCUUCGGGUUGUAAACCUCUUUCAGCACAGACGAAGCGCAAGUGACGGUAUGUGCAGAAGAAGGACCGGCCAACUACGUGCCAGCAGCCGCGGUAAUACGUAGGGUCCGAGCGUUGUCCGGAAUUACUGGGCGUAAAGAGCUCGUAGGUGGUUUGUCGCGUUGUUCGUGAAAACUCACAGCUUAACUGUGGGCGUGCGGGCGAUACGGGCAGACUUGAGUACUGCAGGGGAGACUGGAAUUCCUGGUGUAGCGGUGGAAUGCGCAGAUAUCAGGAGGAACACCGGUGGCGAAGGCGGGUCUCUGGGCAGUAACUGACGCUGAGGAGCGAAAGCGUGGGGAGCGAACAGGAUUAGAUACCCUGGUAGUCC
Molecule: ribosomal RNA, 771 nt
Filed under: uncultured bacterium
Lineage: Bacteria
Description: bacterial SSU rRNA
Rfam family: Bacterial small subunit ribosomal RNA
Source: RNAcentral